RNAcentral lists this long non-coding RNA (422 nucleotides) under Ananas comosus (pineapple). RNAcentral's name for it is "long non-coding RNA (ACOM_LNC025345)". The record is from RNAcentral. Lineage: Eukaryota; Viridiplantae; Streptophyta; Magnoliopsida; Poales; Bromeliaceae.
UUUUUUUUUUUUUUUUUCUUUAAAUGUCCCCUCUUUACUCUUAAUUUUUUAUUCUAAAAAAAAAACUUUUAAUUUUAAAAAUUUAGCAAUUUUAGCUAAAUAAAUAAAAUUUGUUUAUCAAAUUAAUCAUAGAUCCUCAUCAAAGUUAAUGAUUUUUAUCAUUCGGUAAUAAAAAAAACUAAAGAAUUUAAUGACUAAUAGCUAAUAUUAAUCAUCAAACCGUUUGUAGCCUAUAAUGAUUAAAAACGUAAGCGUCGACUGUAAAAUUAAAUAUUUAAAUUUUUUAUGAACUUAAAUUUGGAUUCUACGUUUAUGAUAUCAGGAUUAAUAUAUAGAUAUUUGGAUAGAAAGUUUACAUAAUCAAAACAAAAAAAAAAAAACUAAUAUCACCACCAAACUUAACUAACUAUAAAUUUUCAAAU